Molecule: unclassified non-coding RNA, 321 nt
Filed under: uncultured fungus
Lineage: Eukaryota; Fungi
Description: partial contains 5.8S ribosomal RNA and internal transcribed spacer 2
Rfam family: 5.8S ribosomal RNA (bases 1-133)
Source: RNAcentral
UGGCUCUGGCAUNGAUGAAGAACGCAGCGAAAUGCGAUAAGUAGUGUGAAUUGCAGAAUUCAGUGAAUCAUCGAAUCUUUGAACGCACAUUGCGCCCCUUGGUAUUCCAUGGGGCAUGCCUGUUCGAGCGUCAUCUACACCCUCAAGCACUGCUUGGUGUUGGGCGUCUGUCCCGCCUUUGCGCGUGGACUCGCCCCAAAGUCAUUGGCAGCGGUCUCUGGCACCUCAACGCGCAGUACAAUGCGUUCAUUGGGGUGCUGUGGGCGCGACCAUAAAGCUUUUACCGUCUUUGACCUCGGAUCAGGUAGGGAUACCCGCUGA